AAAGAUAGCUUCUUUGUAUGUGCUAUGUUGGUGAAUUUAUUGUAAAGUAUUUUGUAGCUGGUCCUGCAGAGAUCAUGCUCUUUCCAGAAGGACAAACCACAAACCCUAAGAAAACCAUUUUCCUUUGUUCUCCAGCCUCAAAGAUCUCCCCCUUUUAAAGGACACACGACUGGGUCACUAAGGACUUCACACGGCAACAGCAGCCCUGGAGACCAGGAACGACAAGCCCAGGGAGUGUGUUCGUGGUGUGCCCCACUUCACUGUUCAGACGAAGGAAAGGACCACAAUGGAAAAAGGGAAAAAUAAGUGAUCAUGCCCUUGUUUUUGUGCAUGUGUCUGUUUGUGACUAUGUAUACUGUUCUUUCUCUCCACAUAAAAAAAAAAAUUAGUUGCACCAAAUAUAAUUUGAUUUGUUAUUAUCAAAUCACUCAAUGUAAUAGCUCCCAGGAGCCCUUGUUUUCAGUGUCUGCCAGGACAUUAUGGUGGCUGAUUUGGGUCUAAUUUAUUAUGUCCUCUGUGCUGAAGUGACAGCUGUUGAGAGUUAGUCCUACACCACAAACCCUUAGCCUAUGAUUGAACUGUUAUUCAAAAUGGAAGCAAAUUCCUCAACAUGUGUAAAUUGAAAUGACAUAAAAAAAACAAUUGUACUGUACAUUUCAGAACAGUGGACAAAUGUUCCUAUGCUGAUCUGUUCAGUCAAAUGAGCAGCUACAUUCAUAUAGUCAUAAAACCUUUGGUGUACAUCAGUAAUUAGGAGUGACAGUGAUGUUAUCACCUCAACUUGUCAUCUGAGACCUGAGUGGGGACUUGAGUGAUGUAUGACACAUGGCAAGCACUGUCACAGGGGAAUACAGAAGUAUUCAGAUGUAUUGGUCCAUUCAACAGUGAACAGGGAAAUUGACCAAAUUAUCAAAUCUAUUCCAGGCAAUGUGAAUACUGCAAGGAGAGAAAAAGACAUGUUCUGCAUCAAGGUAUAAAGAGAGACCCACUGAGACGGUGAGAGAGACACUGCCCAGUGCCCACUGUGUAGCUGUGAAGCAGAGCUGAGAUAUAGAUUUAUCUAUCAAUACUAGCAUAUUAUAUUUUUUUAAGAUUAGGUUUAUUGCCAUCUCAUUGUCAUGACAAUUAUAUCACUUUAUUGGUACAGUGCUGGGGGAGGGAGAUUGUUAGCAUGAAGAUCACCAGGGGAAAGAGAGGGGGAAACUCCCUCAUGUAUUUUUAAUCUCAACAGUAUGACCUUUUCCACACAUUCUUAGGACUCACACUCUCUCUGUCACACACACAGCACGCACACAAACCAAUGAAUCAUAAUUUGUGUACUUCAGCGAUUAGACUUUAAUGAGGUCAAAACAACCUUGGGCUGACAACUUUUGAGUGGCAGUCAAACUUCACAGAGUACAACUAGGCCACAGAUGUUUCAUGACUGAGAUUUCACAUCAUGCUGUAUGUCUUACAGGCUUUAUUUUUACUCUUUUGAUUUCUGUUUUUUAAGAUGUUCACACUUUGCCUGGAAUAUCUGAGCCUUUGAGCAUUACGUUGGAAUGUUGAAAAAUGAAGAAUCUCUCAGGUUAAUGUUUGACUUUCAUCGGCCCUCCGAUGCUCUGAAGUUCUUAGAGCCGUGAGCAGUGAGACCACAGAGAACCUGCACAGGGUGGAAAUAAAAGAGUUAAACAAAUAAUGGGCAAACCCUUACCCAGCAAACUCUGUCCCAGGGUUAUCACCACAGGCA
Oncorhynchus kisutch (coho salmon) is the source of this 1729-nucleotide long non-coding RNA. RefSeq lists it as uncharacterized. NCBI's taxonomy places the organism in Eukaryota, Metazoa, Chordata, Actinopteri, Salmoniformes, Salmonidae. The record is from RefSeq and is a predicted model, not a curated record. The transcript is spliced from 4 exons.